GAGUUCAUUCAGCUUUAGUUGUAAGUAUAUAAUAGGCAAUUUUUUUCCUUAUGGAAUGUUCACUGACAUAUAGAAAGAAAGAAAAAGCAGGACGAGAAAAACUAUAAAAAAAUUGCUAAGGCUAUACAGAAAUAAUAUUCUGAUCAGAUUCAUCUUACAUAUGCUAGCAUGUUGGAAUAUAAAUUAAAUAUGAUCUACUUAUACCCAACAUUGAGUUUAGUAGGUAUCACUGAGGAAUGCAGUUCAUGAGUACUGUUAGUUUUUUCUUAUUUCAAUUUAUUAGCUUAAUAUGUUUUUCUUGAAUUCUAUUGUUUGGCUUUUGGAAAAUAUAAAAUGGUUAUAGCCUGGUCUGACUUGCAAAAAGUACUAGCCUUAAUCUUACACAGUUGGCACUUCUUCAUCAUAUCUACCUUCUCUUUUUUGAACCGUGUUCAUCAUGCCUCAAUCUCAAAGAAGAUACAUUCAGAGAAAAAGAAAGCUAGGGCCUUCGACGAAAUGCAGGCCAAAGUUGAGAAAGAGAUGGACAGUGUUUAAGGUUGUUGAAGAUGAAAACCUGACUCUUAUCCUUCAGGAGACAAAUUGAGACAAUUAAUUUCUUUUUUCAAUAUUUCUUUUCUAUAUGUGAAAUCACUUGAUAUGUUAUGGUAUGUGAUUCUAAAAGUAAAAAUGUAAACUAGACAAAAUUUAAAUGGAAAAAUAUAAGCUGAUUGUUGAUAAGCGGUGAUCUGUGGUUGGAAAAUGUGAUGGAAUUUUAACGAAAAAACAUAUUCGAUUCCUUGACAUACUAUAGUCGUGUAAGUGAUGUUGUAAAAAUACUUUAGUGACG
Arachis duranensis is the source of this 826-nucleotide long non-coding RNA. RefSeq lists it as uncharacterized. The record is from RefSeq and is a predicted model, not a curated record. NCBI's taxonomy places the organism in Eukaryota, Viridiplantae, Streptophyta, Magnoliopsida, Fabales, Fabaceae. The transcript is spliced from 3 exons.